UUAAAAUAAAUAUUUAUAUUUAUGACAUCCAAAGACAUCACCUUAAAUGGAAGUUGAUACUAUCUAAGAUCUUUUUUUCUAAAUACCUUGCUAUAAAUAUUACAAAAUCACCACCUCUAUAAAUAAAAAGUAAUCCAAUUCCAUGAAACAAUUUUAAUAAUUUUCAUCACCUAUAGCCAAUUAAGAAAAGAAGUAACAAUCAUAUUGAAAAACUUGAUAAUGUUAUCAAUGAAUUAUUUGUUGAAGCUUAGUUGAAAGUUGAAAGACAAGAAAACAUACAAAUCAAUCACACUUAAGAUGAUAUGACAUAAGAUCCAAUCCAAAC
Molecule: long non-coding RNA, 325 nt
Filed under: Physcomitrium patens
Lineage: Eukaryota; Viridiplantae; Streptophyta; Bryopsida; Funariales; Funariaceae
Description: long non-coding RNA (PPAT_LNC001092)
Source: RNAcentral